This 495-nucleotide ribosomal RNA is filed under the name uncultured bacterium. Its description in RNAcentral is "bacterial SSU rRNA". It matches the Rfam family "Bacterial small subunit ribosomal RNA", at positions 355 to 872 of the family's 1533-position model. The record is from RNAcentral.
UGGGGGAUAUUGCACAAUGGAGGAAACUCUGAUGCAGCGACGCCGCGUGAGUGAAGAAGGCCUUCGGGUCGUAAAGYUCUGUCCUAGGGGAAGAUAAUGACGGUACCCUAGGAGGAAGCCCCGGCUAAYUACGUGCCAGCAGCCGCGGUAAUACGUAGGGGGCGAGCGUUGUCCGGAAUUACUGGGCGUAAAGAGUUCGUAGGCGGUYUGAUAAGUCAGAUGUGAAAGGCGUAGGCUUAACCUAUGUAAGCAUAUGAAACUGUCAGACUUGAGGUAAGGAGAGGAAAGUGGAAUUCCUAGUGUAGCGGUGAAAUGCGUAGAUAUUAGGAGGAAUACCAGUGGSGAAGGCGACUUUCUGGACUUAAACUGACGCUGAGGAACGAAAGCGUGGGGAGCAAACAGGAUUAGAUACCCUGGUAGUCCACGCCGUAAACGAUGAGUGCUAGGUGUCGGGUAGAAAUMUUCGGUGCCGCAGCUAACGCAAUAASCAUCCGC